RNAcentral lists this ribosomal RNA (798 nucleotides) under uncultured eukaryote. RNAcentral describes it as "SSU rRNA". It matches the Rfam family "Eukaryotic small subunit ribosomal RNA", at positions 68 to 873 of the family's 1831-position model. The record is from RNAcentral.
AGCGACUUGUACUGUGAAACUGCGAAUGGCUCAUUAAAUCAGUUAUGGUUUAUUUGAUGGUACCUUACUACUUGGAUACCCGUAGUAAUUCUAGAGCUAAUACAUGCAGGAAAUCCCGACUUCGGAAGGGAUGUAUUUAUUAGAUAAGAAACCAACCCGGCUUGCCGGUUGCGUGCUGAGUCACAAUAACUGCUCGAAUCGCAUGGCCUUGCGCCGGCGAUGGUUCAUUCAAAUUUCUGCCCUAUCAGCUUUCGAUGGUAGGAUCGAGGCCUACCAUGGCGUUUACGGGUAACGGAGAAUUAGGGUUCGAUUCCGGAGAGGGAGCCUGAGAAAUGGCUACCACAUCCAAGGAAGGCAGCAGGCGCGUAAAUUGCCCGAAUCCUGACACAGGGAGGUAGUGACAAGAAAUAACAAUACAGGGCUAUCUUAGUCUUGUAAUUGGAAUGAGUACAAUUUACAUCUCUUCACGAGGAUCAAUUGGAGGGCAAGUCUGGUGCCAGCAGCCGCGGUAAUUCCAGCUCCAAUAGCGUAUAUUAAUGUUGUUGCAGUUAAAACGCUCGUAGUCGGAUUUCGGGGCGGGUGCGCCGGUCUGCCGAUGGGUAUGCACUGGCGGGUCCGUCCUUCCUUCCGGAGACUAGCCCUACUCUUAACUGAGCGGGGUUGGGAGUCGGAUCGUUUACUUUGAAAAAAUCAGAGUGUUUCAAGCAGGCAGCUCGCUCUUGCAUGGAUUAGCAUGGGAUAAUGAAAUAGGACUUUGGUGCUAUUUUGUUGGUUUCGAACACCGAAGUAAUGAUUAAC